AAAAGUAAAAUUAAUAUAAUUUUAAGAUAAGCUAUUUUGUUAUUGAAGCUGAUAAGUCUUAGGUUUAAACUAGGAUUAGAUACCCUAUUAUUCUAAGAUUAAAUUUAUUAUACUAGAAUAAUAAUAGUUAUUUUCUUGAAACUUAAAGGAUUUGGCGGUAAUUAAUCUUAUCAGAGGAAUCUGUUUUGAAGUCGAUAACCCACGAAGUAUCUUACUUAGGUUUGUAUACCAUCAUUAUUAGAUAAUUUUUAGAGAAAUAUUAUUACAAUUAAGUAAGUUUUAAGUAGAUUAGAUCAAGGUGCAGCUAAUAAAUAAGGAAAAAUGGAUUACAAUAAUAUUUUAUUAUUACGGAAUAAUUAUUAUGAAGGAGGAUUUGAUUGUAUAAAAGUUUAAUAUGUUUUUGAGAUAAGAGUUCUUGAUUAUGUACAUAUCGCCCGUCACUUUC
This 445-nucleotide ribosomal RNA is filed under the name Potamocarcinus sp. LMT-2014. RNAcentral's name for it is "partial 12S small subunit ribosomal RNA". Lineage: Eukaryota; Metazoa; Arthropoda; Malacostraca; Decapoda; Pseudothelphusidae. The record is from RNAcentral.